GAGAGAGAGAAAAAUAGAGCUUAUAUGCAUAUGCUGAUAUGCAUAUAUACUUAAAAUUUACAACUUGUUGGGGAAGUGUACUACUAGUAGUUUAAGACUGAAACAUCACCUUUAAAUAUUUUGUAUUGGUAAAAAAAAAUAUUCUGUAAUUAUGUCUACCGUCUUGAGUUAACUUUAAGCGUUAAAAUACUUAAAUGGAUUGAUUGCGAUCGUCUUAUUCCAAUG
RNAcentral lists this long non-coding RNA (225 nucleotides) under Capsella grandiflora. RNAcentral's name for it is "long non-coding RNA (CGRA_LNC001536)". The record is from RNAcentral. Lineage: Eukaryota; Viridiplantae; Streptophyta; Magnoliopsida; Brassicales; Brassicaceae.